RNAcentral lists this long non-coding RNA (1897 nucleotides) under Heterocephalus glaber (naked mole-rat). RNAcentral describes it as "lncRNA (ENSHGLG00100047790.1)". The record is from RNAcentral. Lineage: Eukaryota; Metazoa; Chordata; Mammalia; Rodentia; Bathyergidae.
UGAAACGGAGCUCCCCAAAGAGAUCGAACUCGGGUCCUUGCACUUGCAAGGCAGGCGGCAGAACCACUGAGCUAAAUCCCUGGCCCAGAGAAUGCCCUGUUGAUGGUCUUGGGUUUGAUGAUGUGUGAUGAUACUCAUGCUCGUUAUGAGGGAUACAAGGUGAAAAGCCCUGUAUGGAGUCAGGUCCAACUGAAGAGAACUGUCAACCGGAUUCUAAUCCCAACAUCAUCAUGACCACCUUGCUGGUGACCGUGGGUGGGUCUCACUACGUAGUUCAGGCUUGAUUUGAACUCACUACAUAGGCCAGGUUGGCCUCAAACUCACAGCGAUCCUCCUGCCUCUGCCUCCCAAGAGAUGGGAUUUCAGAUGCAGAGAUCCGGGUCAGGAUGGCCCACAGGGCAAGAAAAGCAUUUGGUUUGCAAACCCCAGCAAAAGGAAAACCUUCUUCCCGGCUCAGGGGCUUUUCUAGAAAGGCCAAACCAGACGCGUGGAAAGCAGAGGGACUGCUGACCCUUCCGCCACUCACUACCUGUGUGGUUUCUGGGGGUCACCGGUGGUAAGCAUGGGGGUUUGAGUUCACUUCACCCACAAAACCCUGUGAUUGUCAAGUGCAGGCUUUCGCCACAGAAUCGUAACCCUGGAAAGGGUUUGUCUUUUGAAAAUAAUGUCUUAGCUUGAUCUCAGCGCUAGAAUUUGUUUUUUAUUUAUUUAGGGUUUUUUGUGAGACAUUGUCUUGCUAUGUAGUUCAGGCUGGCCUCGAACUCACAGUAUUGCUGCUGCCGCCUCAGCCUCCCAAGUGCUGGGAUCAGAGGCAUGGGCAACCAGGCCCAGUUUAGAAUGUAUUCUGGACAGUGUUUCAUGUGCCGGUUAAGCCUAGUGGGUUGGACACAUGCUCACCUGCAUUCUGCUUUCAAGUUCCAUUUAGCGAUGAGGACAAAGAAAAGGACCCACAGACCUGGGUCAGAAGGAGGAGAAACUGGGAGGCCCGUAGCAGGAGAAGCCAGCAAGCCAACCCUGCCCCACUUUCUGGGAGUGAAGGCGGAGUGAGCAUGAUUAAACAGAAGUCUGAUGAAUGAAGACGAAGUCCUGCUCCCAGCGACUUCCUCUCUCCCUUGCCACCCUGCAGGAUACUGGGAGGAAAAAGUCAACCUGUGACCCAGUCACCUAGCAGUGUAGUCCAACAGGUCACAGGCCCUCGUCCCUCUGUGAGAGAGACCACAAAAGAUGGACAAAGAAACCGAACAGACAGAGACCGUUCAAGGAACAAAAGAAGUCUAAUAAUUUUUCGCAGAGACUUACUCAGGUGUCUGCUAAAAUGUCUCUUCAUCCAAGUCCUUUCCUGCCCCCCCCAAUCGUGUCUUUUAUUACUCAGCCUUAUUUCAGACACAGAGAACAGCGGGAUGGAGGGGAGAAAACUAUUAAGAUGAGUAAUACGAAAACUUUCCCAGAGCUGAAGGGCCUGGGCUUCUUGUUUGAAAGGACCAUUGAGUCCCAGGCACAAUGCAGGGGAGAAGACCCCCAUUCGGGUGCAGGCAUCACCAUGAAAUUCAGAACCCACGAUAAAGAGAAGACUUUAAAAGCUUCCCAAGAGAUAAAAUAGUAGGCUUUUACAAAGGAUCAGCAACCAGAAUUGCUCUGGACUGCUCAAUAAAAACAUCAGAAGCUACGAGAAAAUAGAGCAAGGCAUCAAAAUCCCAAAGGAAAAGGAUUCCAACCUGUCAUCCUAGGUUCAGCUCAAUUAUCAAUUAAGGAUUGAAGGGAAAUAAAGACAUUUUUAGAUGUGCAGUUUCUCAAAAGGCACGCUUCCUGCGCUCUUGGAAUAAACCAAGAAAGAAGGUGACAGGGGAUCCAGGGGAGUCCAUAACAUAAGAGAACCAACCAGUCUGGAUUGAAGGAG